UUGGUGAAGGAACUAGGCAAAAUGGCACCGUAACUUCGGGAGAAGGUGCGCCGGCUAGGGUGAAGGAUUUACUCCGUAAGCUCUGGCUGGUCGAAGAUACCAGGCCGCUGCGACUGUUUAUUAAAAACACAGCACUCUGCAAACACGAAAGUGGACGUAUAGGGUGUGACGCCUGCCCGGUGCCGGAAGGUUAAUUGAUGGGGUUAGCGCAAGCGAAGCUCUUGAUCGAAGCCCCGGUAAACGGCGGCCGUAACUAUAACGGUCCUAAGGUAGCGAAAUUCCUUGUCGGGUAAGUUCCGACCUGCACGAAUGGCGUAACGAUGGCGGCGCUGUCUCCACCCGAGACUCAGUGAAAUUGAAAUCGCUGUGAAGAUGCAGUGUAUCCGCGGCUAGACGGAAAGACCCCGUGAACCUUUACUGUAGCUUUGCACUGGACUUUGAGCCUGCUUGUGUAGGAUAGGUGGGAGGCUUUGAAGCGUGGACGCCAGUUCGCGUGGAGCCAUCCUUGAAAUACCACCCUGGCAUGCUUGAGGUUCUAACUCUGGUCCGUAAUCCGGAUCGAGGACAGUGUAUGGUGGGCAGUUUGACUGGGGCGGUCUCCUCCUAAAGAGUAACGGAGGAGUACGAAGGUGCGCUCAGACCGGUCGGAAAUCGGUCGCAGAGUAUAAAGGCAAAAGCGCGCUUGACUGCGAGACAGACACGUCGAGCAGGUACGAAAGUAGGUCUUAGUGAUCCGGUGGUUCUGUAUGGAAGGGCCAUCGCUCAACGGAUAAAAGGUACUCCGGGGAUAACAGGCUGAUACCGCCCAAGAGUUCAUAUCGACGGCGGUGUUUGGCACCUCGAUGUCGGCUCAUCACAUCCUGGGGCUGAAGCCGGUCCCAAGGGUAUGGCUGUUCGCCAUUUAAAGUGGUACGCGAGCUGGGUUUAGAACGUCGUGAGACAGUUCGGUCCCUAUCUGCCGUGGACGUUUGAGAUUUGAGAGGGGCUGCUCCUAGUACGAGAGGACCGGAGUGGACGAACCUCUGGUGUUCCGGUUGUCACGCCAGUGGCAUUGCCGGGUAGCUAUGUUCGGAAAAGAUAACCGCUGAAAGCAUCUAAGCGGGAAACUUGCCUCAAGAUGAGAUCUCACUGGGAACUUGAUUCCCCUGAAGGGCCGUCGAAGACUACGACGUUGAUAGGCUGGGUGUGUAAGCGUUGUGAGGCGUUGAGCUAACCAGUACUAAUUGCCCGUGAGGCUUGACC
This 1242-nucleotide ribosomal RNA is filed under the name metagenome. Its description in RNAcentral is "bacterial LSU rRNA". It matches the Rfam family "Bacterial large subunit ribosomal RNA", at positions 1701 to 2925 of the family's 2925-position model. The record is from RNAcentral.